CACGUAGGGUGCGAGCGUUGUCCGGAAUUAUUGGGCGUAAAGAGCUCGUAGGUGGUUUGUCGCGUUGUUCGUGAAAACUCACAGCUCAACUGUGGGCGUGCGGGCGAUACGGGCAGACUUGAGUACUGCAGGGGAGACUGGAAUUCCUGGUGUAGCGGUGGAAUGCGCAGAUAUCAGGAGGAACACCGGUGGCGAAGGCGGGUCUCUGGGCCGAUACUGACGCUGAGGAGCGAAAGCGUGGGGAGCGAACAGG
This 253-nucleotide ribosomal RNA is filed under the name uncultured bacterium. Its description in RNAcentral is "partial 16S ribosomal RNA". It matches the Rfam family "Bacterial small subunit ribosomal RNA", at positions 524 to 776 of the family's 1533-position model. The record is from RNAcentral.